GUGAAUCAUCAAAUUUUUGAACGCAAAUUGCGCUUCCUGGUCUCCCGUGAAGUAUGUCUGUUUGAGGGUCAGUAUUAACUAAAAAUCGGCUUGGUUGCAAAUUGUGACGUUUCCGGAGUUUGGUCUUAUCUUACCUUUUUUGGUUAAGGUGAUUACAAUUGACCUUGUUUGCGCAUUUUUAGACGUAUAUAAAUUUUUUUUUAUUCGUCUAUUUUUAAUGCCAAAAUCUUAUUAGAUGCGAUCACAUCGUGUGGAUUCGUGUCCAUAAACUUUUCAUGAUUUGA
This 284-nucleotide unclassified non-coding RNA is filed under the name Glomeraceae sp. RNAcentral describes it as "partial internal transcribed spacer 2". The stretch from base 1 to 71 matches the Rfam family "5.8S ribosomal RNA", at positions 84 to 154 of the family's 154-position model. The record is from RNAcentral. Lineage: Eukaryota; Fungi; Glomeromycota; Glomeromycetes; Glomerales; Glomeraceae.